UAUAUAUAGACUAGAAAGAUAACAUCUAAAUGGUUUCUCUCCACUGAUUUCUUGCAGUCACAGUCCAAUUCCAUCACUUCCAAAUUUGACACUGCAUUUGAUUUGGUAACUCAGCUGAUAAGCAAAUCUACAAUUGGUGCACUGGAAUUGAUUAUGAUACACAAUUAAGAUAAUCAACUGCGGAGGAAUAUGAAAUAUUACGGACAUAGUGUUUGGUGCAAUUCCCCAGCGAAAUGAGUUUGAGCUACAAUGACAAUUUUCACAUCUGAAGCUUUUUGUCCCCUAUUUACUCUGAUUGUAAUGUGUCAGAGCAUUGCCGAUUGUCAUACAGUGUUGGAUAUAAUACCAAGGAGAUGUGUUGUUUGUUGGAUUGGAUGGAUCAAGGCUUAUAAACGAGCAUAAAACAUGGAUAUGUGGGGGUUCUGUUAUGUUCAAUACAUGCCACUUUCUUCUGAUGGUUUCUCUCAAUAACAAGACUUCUUCCUCGACUUUCAUCCCUUGUGCUUUUGAGUAGUUCGGUGCAGAAAAUGUUUCCUAAGUUAACGAAUAUCACUUCCCUAGGACUACCCAUGAGUGCAUUCGUAACGGCGUAUAUGACCUAACAGUAAGGGAAUGCAACAAAGUAGAGUCAAAUAUUUUGCCUUCUCAUAUGGAAAUACUAUCAUGUGGCCAUCAGGAGAGUGACAAAAUAAUGCAAGCAUCUACAACUCUCUAUGAGGCUAGUGGAGCCAAUGUUGUAGCAGUAGCAGGCUACAAAACUUUUCUUAUGGAAUUGCUUAGUAGGAUAUCGCUAAGGAGAUUCUUUGGACACCAAAGUAGUGUCCCAAGGUCUAUCAAGGAUUCAGAGCAUGUGAGGAAGUUCUUUGCCUAUGUUCAGCUAUGGGAUUUUGACAAUGAUGUUGUUGAUGUAAGGCUUUACUACUCGAACCUUGAGGACAAGGUUCUUAUUGGGGCCGGAGGUAAUGUCAUGAAUGAGUCUCUACCAGUAUCGGCAAAGCAGCCCAAUAUCAGAUUAAAUGGCUAUGUUUGGGAUCCGAGUUGAUAUAUAGCUACUUGUAGGUGAUAAAUAGGUUUAUGCGAAUAUUGUUGGAGUUUCUGUGUCUCCUCAUUCUCGUUCUAUCUGUUUUUCUCACCUCCUUUCUGAGUCUAUGCUUCUCAUCUCUCUUCUAUCCUUUGUUACAAUUCCUUUUUAUCCUUUCAACUACCUUGUUGAUCUUAAGCUUUUCGUUGUAAUAGUUUGUUUGAGCUUUCAAUCAAAGGAAUUGGUUCCCUGUUGUUGAGCAUUUAAGUUUUCACUUCAGAAGAUCUAUCAAGAAUGGCCCAGUUUCGCUAAUUCAGAUGAACGCCUCACUGGAGGAGAUGCCAUCAAGUUAUUUGCCAUGUCCAAUUUGCCUCGUCAAGAGCUCAAGCAGGUUCUUUUCUUUUCUACUUCCUUUAUUUCUUUAAUGUUGUUCACUUGUACCCAAUAACCCCAGAUGUUAUUUUCUAAGAUAGUGUAUAUAUGGUCAAACAUAUUUUUAUUAUAUAGUAGACUUGAAUCCUCUCGA
Molecule: long non-coding RNA, 1547 nt
Organism: Solanum dulcamara
Lineage: Eukaryota; Viridiplantae; Streptophyta; Magnoliopsida; Solanales; Solanaceae
Exons: 2
Source: RefSeq, a predicted model, not a curated record